AUUAUAUUUUUGUUGCUUCUUUUGAUGUUCCUUCUAGUAUAUCCUUUGUAUUCAUGACGUGCUCCACGAGUUUUGAACCGGCGGUGCGUUUGAAAAAUAAGAGCGGAGAUGUGAGCUGAGUUUCAUCGCAUCACAAAUGUCAACCUGCGAAAACAGUUUUAUUUUGACCUGGACAGACAGACGCCACGGAUGCUGAUCUUUUUGAGACAGAAGGCAGCACGAACCGGAAGGCUCUAUGCGACAUUCUGCACCUCUAUGAUAAACAGCAAGAGCAGACUGCUGAUGUCAAAGGUACUCCUGUCCUGUACUGGCUUCUAAUAUACAAACGUGAAGAGGACCCACAAUUCUUCAAAGUUUGGAAUAUUAAAGAGUCACCAGAGGCAGACAUCAGCAGCACCUCUGUUGGCAUUCUGACCGUCAGCAACAACAACACAAGUUCAGUGCAUUUCUGUCCGCUCAGUACAGCAGUUGUGGUGGAAGAUGAGCUUGUGGUAGGCGACAUUCCCAAAAAUGUUUUGAGUGCUAAUGUUUGUAGGGAAAGGGCACCCAAAGAAAAGACAGUUUUAUGUGGGAAAAGUGUAAAAAAAAAAAAAAAA
Molecule: long non-coding RNA, 596 nt
Organism: Oryzias latipes (Japanese medaka)
Lineage: Eukaryota; Metazoa; Chordata; Actinopteri; Beloniformes; Adrianichthyidae
Source: RefSeq, a predicted model, not a curated record